GGGUGCGAUCAUACCAGCGUUAAUGCACUGGAUCCCAUCAGAACUCUGUAGUUAAGUGCACUUGGGCUAUUGUAUCACUGGGAUGGGUGACCUCCCAGGAAGUCCUAGUGUUGCACCAU
Non-coding RNA from Picea glauca (white spruce), 119 nucleotides. The record is from Rfam. NCBI's taxonomy places the organism in Eukaryota, Viridiplantae, Streptophyta, Pinopsida, Pinales, Pinaceae.